AAGCGUGGGGAUCAAACAGGAUAGAUACCCUGGUGAGUCCACGCGUAAACGAUGAGUGCAAAGUGAAAGGGGGUUUCCGCCCCUAAGUGCUGCAGCAAACGCAUUAAGCACUCCGCCUGGGGAGUACGACCGAAGGUGAAACUCAAAGGAAUGACGGGGACCCGCACAAGCGGUGGAGCAUGUGGUUUAAUUCGAAGCAACGCGAAGAACCUUACCAAAUCUGGACAUCCUUUGACCGCUCUAGAGAUAGAGUCUUCCCCUUCGGGGGACAAAGUGACAGGUGGUGCAUGGUGUGUCAGCUCGUGUCGUGAGAUGUUGGGUUAAGUCCCGCAACGAGCGCAACCCUUAAGCUUAGUUGCCAUCAUUAAGUUGGGCACUCUAAGUUGACUGCCGGUGACAAACCGGAGGAAGGUGGGGAUGACGGUCAAAUCAU
Molecule: ribosomal RNA, 433 nt
Filed under: Staphylococcus sp. LEM_CA-31
Lineage: Bacteria; Bacillati; Bacillota; Bacilli; Caryophanales; Staphylococcaceae
Description: bacterial SSU rRNA
Rfam family: Bacterial small subunit ribosomal RNA
Source: RNAcentral